UCUAUUUUUAUUUCUGUCAAACAGUAUGGCAAUAGUGUAACUCUUUAUUGUAAGCAGGAAUCCAUUCGAGCUGCUUUUUCACGCAAUGUUGACGUUAUCAGGUGCAUGCUAGCUCCGUUCUUAAAAAAAACUAAAAAAAACUAAAUUUCAGUGACAAACGUUUCAACUAGAAGUCCUUUUCAAUGUCUUCAAAAAUCCAUUCUCGAUGAACACAAUGCUCCUGAAACCAUCGUUUCCACUGACAACAGUUGCCCAACUUCAUCAAUAAGCCACAACGGUUGCCUUUUUAAUCCCCAGUGGGCCCCGGACAGAGUACAAUUGUUUCAGUAUGUCUUAGCCAGUUGGUUGCCCCUUGAUGGACUCCCCAGAUUAAGUGCUUGCUAUGGAAGCAUGAACAUGGGUCUUCUGGGAGUUGACCUUCAUCCUCAGCUGGGGAUCUGAGGGAGUGCUCUCAAAUUGACUGAUACCUCAGUUGGAGCAGGCUGGCCCAUCACCAGGCAGUCUUGGAAUAGGGGGCACAGAGGUCACUGCGUCUGGCCGAUCAAGUAUAAUAUUACUAAGGAUAAUCAAAAAAAGGAGUCACUCAGAACAGAUCAGAUUCUGUUGCUCUUAGGACAGACAGGCGUUGGGGUAAUAACAUCUUUGAUAUUGAUACUGGAGCUCUUUGUGAUUAACUUCCCUCAAUAGGGAAUCGGCACAAUGGUCUCCUUUGUUCACCAAAUAUAAAACCUUCCCACAAUGAGCCUUGGUUUAACCCCAACCACUUUAUUGAUGAUUCUUAAUGCUGACAGCAAGAAACAAAUGGACUGAUUGGGGGAAAAUAUAUUCUCCAGCAUUUGAUUAAGCCUGGAUCACACACCAAGUUAAUUAUUGUGAGUUUUAUCUGUUUCAAAAUACAAACAUCAAGCCUGUUGUUAUGUCUACUGGACCUGGCAGCCAUAAAUUCCUUCGUUUUGUACAAGGAAUGCACUGGGGAAAAUAUCAGUAAGAGAGAUUUCAUCUUGAAGCUAGCCACAGAAACAUUUUGAUCAGAAAACUGCAAAGCAGCAGGCUGCUGCAGCUCAACCUGGAUUUAAUGCUGCACUGAGUGGCACACGCAGAGAAAAACAUAUGUUACUUUUGUUUUACAUUUAAAAAUACAUUAGUUUUUACAGUUUUGUAUGUACAUAGACCUGUUUUCACCUGUUUACACACUAGUUUCUUUUGAAAUAUUUAUUUUUAUAUAGUUUGUGCAGAUAUUUGAUAUGUCAAGCCUGAAUAAAACUUUUGAGUUGUA
Long non-coding RNA from Acipenser ruthenus (sterlet), 1276 nucleotides. RefSeq lists it as uncharacterized. NCBI's taxonomy places the organism in Eukaryota, Metazoa, Chordata, Actinopteri, Acipenseriformes, Acipenseridae. The record is from RefSeq and is a predicted model, not a curated record. The transcript is spliced from 2 exons.